RNAcentral lists this ribosomal RNA (402 nucleotides) under Nemausa acuticornis. RNAcentral describes it as "partial 16S ribosomal RNA". The stretch from base 305 to 402 matches the Rfam family "Bacterial large subunit ribosomal RNA", at positions 2473 to 2570 of the family's 2925-position model. The record is from RNAcentral. Lineage: Eukaryota; Metazoa; Arthropoda; Malacostraca; Decapoda; Mithracidae.
CAUAAUCAUUAGUUUUUUAAUUGGAAACUUGUAUGAAUGGUUAAACAAAAGAAAUUCUGUCUCUAUUUUUAAAAUUUGAAUUUAACUUUUAAGUGAAAAGGCUUAAAUUUUUCAAGGGGACGAUAAGACCCUAUAAAGCUUUAUAAAUAAUUAAAUGUUUUUGAAUUAUAAAAUAAAAAAAAAAUUAAGAGUUUAUUAUGUUGGGGCGACACGGAUAUAAGUGAAAAUAACUAUUAGAAAAAAAAACAAUAAUUUUUGAAUUUUAUGAUCCUUACGAAAGAUUAUAAGACUAAGUUACUUUAGGGAUAACAGCGUAAUUCUUUUUGAGAGUUCAUAUCGAAAAAAGAGUUUGCGACCUCGAUGUUGAAUCAUAAAAUCUUUAUAGUGCAGCAGUUAUAAAAG